This 601-nucleotide ribosomal RNA is filed under the name uncultured bacterium. RNAcentral's name for it is "bacterial SSU rRNA". It matches the Rfam family "Bacterial small subunit ribosomal RNA", at positions 338 to 1533 of the family's 1533-position model. The record is from RNAcentral.
CCUACGGGAGGCAGCAGUGGGGAAUAUUGGGCAAUGGAGGAAACUCUGACCCAGCGACGCCGCGUGCGGGAUGAAGGCCUUCGGGUUGUAAACCGCUUUCAGUAGGGAAGAAGCGAAAGUGACGGUACCUACAGAAGAAGCACCGGCUAACUAUGUGCCAGCAGCCGCGGUAAUACAUAGGGUGCAGGCGUUGUCCGGAAUUAUUGGGCGUAAAGAGCUCGUAGGUGGUUCGUCACGUCGGAUGUGAAAAUCUGGGGCUCAACCCCAGACCUGCAUUCGAUACGGGCGAUCUAGAGUGUGGUAGGGGAGACUGGAAUUCCUGGUGUAGCGGUGGAAUGCGCAGAUAUCAGGAGGAACACCAAUGGCGAAGGCAGGUCUCUGGGCCAUUACUGACACUGAGGAGCGAAAGCGUGGGGAGCGAACAGGAUUAGAUACCCUGGUAGUCCACGCCGUAAACGGUGGGCACUAGUUGUGGGAACCUUCCACGGUUUCUGCGACGCAGCUAACGCAUUAAGUGCCCCGCCUGGGGAGUACGANCGCAGAUAAACUACAANAGAGUAGAGCGUGAGAGUGCCGACGGACGACGACGAGGGAGGUUAGG